AGAGUUUGAUCCUGGCUCAGGAUGAACGCUAGCGGCAGGCUUAACACAUGCAAGUCGAGGGGCAGCGGGGAGGAAGCUUGCUUUCUCCGCCGGCGACCGGCGCACGGGUGAGUAACACGUAUGCAACCUGCCCCUGUCAGGGGGACAACCCGCCGAAAGGCGGGCUAAACCCGCGUACAUGCCACCGGGGCAUCCCGGAGGCAGGAAAGGCUUCGGCCGGACAGGGAUGGGCAUGCGGCGCAUUAGGCAGUAGGCGGGGUAACGGCCCACCUAACCGACGAUGCGUAGGGGUUCUGAGAGGAAGGUCCCCCACACUGGUACUGAGACACGGACCAGACUCCUACGGGAGGCAGCAGUGAGGAAUAUUGGUCAAUGGUCGGGAGACUGAACCAGCCAAGCCGCGUGAGGGAGGAAGGUACAGAGUAUCGUAAACCUCUUUUGUCAGGGAACAAAGGCGGGGACGUGUCCCCGGAUGAGUGUACCUGAAGAAAAAGCAUCGGCUAACUCCGUGCCAGCAGCCGCGGUAAUACGGAGGAUGCGAGCGUUAUCCGGAUUUAUUGGGUUUAAAGGGUGCGCAGGCGGUCUGUUAAGUCAGCGGUCAAAGCCCGGGGCUCAACCCCGGCCCGCCGUUGAAACUGGCAGUCUCGAGUUGGAGAGAAGUAUGCGGAAUGCGCGGUGUAGCGGUGAAAUGCAUAGAUAUCGCGCAGAACUCCGAUUGCGAAGGCAGCAUGCCGGCUCCACACUGACGCUGAGGCACGAAAGCGUGGGUAUCGAACAGGAUUAGAUACCCUGGUAGUCCACGCAGUAAACGAUGAAUGCUGGCUGUCCGGGGGGAUUGACCCCUGGGUGGCGAAGCGAAAGCGAUAAGCAUUCCACCUGGGGAGUACGCCGGCAACGGUGAAACUCAAAGGAAUUGACGGGGGCCCGCACAAGCGGAGGAACAUGUGGUUUAAUUCGAUGAUACGCGAGGAACCUUACCCGGGCUCAAACGGGGAGUGACUCAGGCAGAGACGCCUGUUUCCCACGGGACACUCCCCGAGGUGCUGCAUGGUUGUCGUCAGCUCGUGCCGUGAGGUGUCGGCUUAAGUGCCAUAACGAGCGCAACCCCCGCGUGCAGUUGCUAACAGAUAACGCUGAGGACUCUGCACGGACUGCCGGCGCAAGCCGCGAGGAAGGCGGGGAUGACGUCAAAUCAGCACGGCCCUUACGUCCGGGGCGACACACGUGUUACAAUGGGUGGUACAGCGGGAAGCCAGGCGGCGACGCCGAGCGGAACCCGAAAUCCACUCUCAGUUCGGAUCGGAGUCUGCAACCCGACUCCGUGAAGCUGGAUUCGCUAGUAAUCGCGCAUCAGCCAUGGCGCGGUGAAUA
Molecule: ribosomal RNA, 1371 nt
Filed under: uncultured bacterium
Lineage: Bacteria
Description: 16S ribosomal RNA
Rfam family: Bacterial small subunit ribosomal RNA
Source: RNAcentral